This 111-nucleotide ribosomal RNA is filed under the name uncultured eukaryote. Its description in RNAcentral is "partial small subunit ribosomal RNA". The record is from RNAcentral.
CUUAAAUUGGUGAGCUAACCACAGCAAUGUGGAGGCAGCUAAUCACGGUUGUGUGAGUGACUGGGGUGAAGYCGUAACAAGGUAGCUGUAGGUGAACCUGCAGAAGGAUCA